AACUGAUACUACCUGCGGGAACCUGCGGAGGGAUCAUUACUGAGGAGGGUCCAUGGCCCGAUCUCCAACCCUUUGAUAAAAACACCAUGUUGCUUUGGCAGGCCCGCCCGUUGGGGCCGCGGGGGAUCGCCGGUCCCUAGCCCGUGCCUGCCGGUAGCCUUCACAAAACUCUCAAAAUGUUGUCGUCUGAGAUGAUUAGAAUAAUAAAACUUUCAGCAACGGAUCUCUAGAUCGGAAGAG
RNAcentral lists this unclassified non-coding RNA (240 nucleotides) under soil metagenome. RNAcentral's name for it is "partial contains 5.8S ribosomal RNA, internal transcribed spacer 2, and large subunit ribosomal RNA". The record is from RNAcentral.